This 513-nucleotide ribosomal RNA is filed under the name uncultured bacterium. RNAcentral describes it as "partial 16S ribosomal RNA". It matches the Rfam family "Bacterial small subunit ribosomal RNA", at positions 28 to 523 of the family's 1533-position model. The record is from RNAcentral.
GACGAACGCUGGCGGCGUGCCUAAUACAUGCAAGUAGAACGCUGAAGAGAGGAGCUUGCUCUUCUUGGAUGAGUUGCGAACGGGUGAGUAACGCGUAAGUAACCUGCCUGGUAGCGGGGGAUAACUAUUGGAAACGAUAGCUAAUACCGCAUGAUAUUAAUUAUUGCAUGAUAAUUGAUUGAAAGAUGCAAUUGCAUGACUACCAGAUGGACCUGCGUUGUAUUAGCUAGUUGGUGAGGUAACGGCUCACCAAGGCGACGAUACAUAGCCGACCUGGGAGGGUGAUCGGCCACACUGGGACUGAGACACGGCCCAGACUCCUACGGGAGGCAGCAGUAGGGAAUCGUCGGCAAUGGGGGGAACCCUGACCGAGCAACGCCGCGUGAGUGAAGAAGGUUUUCGGAUCGUAAAGCUCUGUUGUAAGAGAAGAACGGGUGUGAGAGUGGAAAGUUCACACUGUGACGGUAUCUUACCAGAAAGGGACGGCUAACUACGUGCCAGCCGCCGCCGUAA